UGAGGAAUAUUGGUCAAUGGGCGAGAGCCUGAACCAGCCAAGUAGCGUGCAGGAUGACGGCCCUAUGGGUUGUAAACUGCUUUUAUGUGGGGAUAAAGUGCGUGACGUGUCAUGCAUUGCAGGUACCACAUGAAUAAGGACCGGCUAAUUCCGUGCCAGCAGCCGCGGUAAUACGGAAGGUCCGGGCGUUAUCCGGAUUUAUUGGGUUUAAAGGGAGCGUAGGCUGUCUAUUAAGCGUGUUGUGAAAUUUACCGGCUCAACCGGUGGCUUGCAGCGCGAACUGGUCGACUUGAGUAUGCAGGAAGUAGGCGGAAUUCAUGGUGUAGCGGUGAAAUGCUUAGAUAUCAUGACGAACUCCGAUUGCGCAGGCAGCUUACUGUAGCAUAACUGACGCUAUGCUCGAAAGUGCGGGUAUCAAACAGG
Molecule: ribosomal RNA, 423 nt
Filed under: Fusobacteriota bacterium
Lineage: Bacteria; Fusobacteriati; Fusobacteriota
Description: Fusobacteria bacterium partial 16S ribosomal RNA
Rfam family: Bacterial small subunit ribosomal RNA
Source: RNAcentral